This 1765-nucleotide ribosomal RNA is filed under the name human gut metagenome. Its description in RNAcentral is "bacterial LSU rRNA". It matches the Rfam family "Bacterial large subunit ribosomal RNA", at positions 214 to 1973 of the family's 2925-position model. The record is from RNAcentral.
AGGAAGAGAAAAUAAAUGAAUGAUUCCCCCAGUAGUGGCGAGCGAACGGGGAACAGCCCAAACCGUUGACGUCGCAAGGCGCCAGCGGGGUUGUAGGACCGCGACAUUGUAUGCAAAUCGUGAACAGAACACUUUGGAAAAUGUGACCAUAGACGGUGAUAGUCCAGUAUGUGAAGCGAAAUGCAGCAUAGCGGUAUCCUGAGUAACGCGGGACACGAGGAAUCCUGCGCGAAUCUGCCGGGACCAUCCGGUAAGGCUAAAUACUCCCGUGAGACCGAUAGCGAACGAGUACUGUGAAGGAAAGGUGAAAAGAACCCCGAGCAGGGGAGUGAAAUAGUUCCUGAAACCAUACGCCUACAAGCGGUCGGAGCAUCUUACGAUGUGACGGCGUGCCUUUUGCAUAAUGAUCCUACGAGUUACCGUCACUGGCGAGGUUGAGUGUCAUGAGACACGUAGCCGCAGUGAAAGCGAGCCUGAAUAGGGCGCAUAGUCAGUGGGGGUAGACGCGAAACCAAGUGAUCUACACUUGGCCAGGAUGAAGUCCCGGUAACACGGGAUGGAGGUCCGCACCAAUAAGCGUUGAAAAGCUUCUGGAUGAGCCGAGUGUAGGAGUGAAAGGCCAAUCAAACUUGGAGAUAGCUCGUACUCCCCGAAAGGCAUUUAGGUGCCGCGUCGGAUGGUCACCGUGAGAGGUAGAGCGACCGAUAGGACAAGAGGGCUUCACCGCCUAUCGAGUCCUGACGAACUCCGAAUGCUCACGGUCUGCAGUCCGGCAGUAAGGGGGCGGGUGCUAAGGUCCGUCCCCGAGAGGAGAAGAAUCCAGACCGCCGUCUAAGGUCCCGGAGUUCUGCCUGAGUUAGUCUAACGAAGUCUGGUCCCUAUGACAGCUAGGAUGUUGGCUUGGAAGCAGCCAUUCAUUCAAAGAGUGCGUAACAGCUCACUAGUCGAGGGUCCGGGCAUGGAUAAUAAUCGGGUAUAAGGCAGACACCGAAGGCGCGGGAUAGCAUUUAAGAAAGUAUCGGUAGGGGAGCAUACUCACAGCGUGGAAUGGUGUACGUAAGUUAUCCUGGAGCGGUGAGUAAAGCAAAUGUAGGAAUAAGUAACGAUAAGGAGGGUUAGAUUCCCUCCCGCUGUAAGACCAAGGUUUCCCGGGCAAUGCCAAUCAGCCCGGGGUCAGUCGGGUCCUAAGUCUAAGCCGAACGGCGAUGGCGAUGGCAGAGACGGUUAAUAUUCCGUCACUGCCGCAUGGGGCGACGUGGAGACGGAGCAGUGAAACCACCGCGGGGCGACGGAAGUCCCCGUUGAAGAGUGUAGGUGUUGAGGAUGGCAGGCAAAUCCACCGUCCGAGCUGAACUUGAUAGUAUGGAGUCUUCUUCGGAAGAAUCCAAUAGUGUGGGUAAUCAUACUCCCGAGAAAAUCCGCUAAGCUUAACCCAUGCGGCACCCGUACCGCAAACGGACACACGUGGUCGGGUAGAACAUACUAAGGCGUUGAGAGAUUCAUGGUUAAGGAACUAGGCAAAUUGACCCUGUAACUUCGGGAUAAAGGGUCCUCGUGAUGAGCGAGGCGCAGAGAAUAGGUCCAGGCAACUGUUUAACAAAAACACAGGGCUGUGCAAACUCGAAAGAUGACGUAUACAGCCUGACACCUGCCCGGUGCCGGAAGGUUAAGAGGAGAUGUCACUCGCAAGAGGAAGCAUUGAAUUGAAGCCCCGGUAAACGGCGGCCGUAACUAUAACGGUCCUAAGGUAGCGAAAUUCCUUGUC